Molecule: non-coding RNA, 232 nt
Filed under: Jeotgalibacillus malaysiensis
Lineage: Bacteria; Bacillati; Bacillota; Bacilli; Caryophanales; Caryophanaceae
Description: T-box sequence
Rfam family: T-box leader
About the family: Uncharged tRNA acts as the effector for transcription antitermination of genes in the T-box leader family. T-boxes are found upstream of many aminoacyl-tRNA synthetase genes and some amino acid biosynthetic genes usually in Gram-positive bacteria.
Source: RNAcentral
GUUAAAUCAUUGAUGAGGUUAAAGUAUACAGCAAGCGGCAUUUACAGAGAGCCGGGAUAGGUGGAACCCGGUAUUGCCAGCUGUAUAUGACAUCCCCUCGGAGUGGAACACUGAAAUCUUUCAGUAGGUGUUCACGGACAAUUUGUUCGUUAACAAAGAACAGUCUAACUGUUCAUGAGGCAGCAUUUGCUGUGAAGUAGGGUGGUACCAUGAAAAGUCUUUCAUCCCUAUA